AACGAACGCUGGCGGCAUGCCUAACACAUGCAAGUCGAACGAAACCUUCGGGUCUAGUGGCGCACGGUUGCGUAACGCGUGGGAACCUGCCCUUAGGUUCGGAAUAACUCCCCGAAAGGGGUGCUAAUACCGGAUAAUGUCUUCGGACCAAAGAUUUAUCGCCUUUGGAUGGGCCCGCGUUGGAUUAGCUAGUUGGUAGGGUAAAAGCCUACCAAGGCGACGAUCCAUAGCUGGUCUGAGAGGAUGAUCAGCCACACUGGGACUGAGACACGGCCCAGAAUCCUACGGGAGGCAGCAGUGGGGAAUAUUGGACAAUGGGCGAAAGGCUGAUCCAGCAAUGCCGCGUGAGUGAUGAAGGCCUUAGGGUUGUAAAGCUCUUUUACCCGGGAUGAUAAUGACAGUACCGGGAGAAUAAGCUCCGGCUAACUCCGUG
Molecule: ribosomal RNA, 433 nt
Filed under: uncultured bacterium
Lineage: Bacteria
Description: partial 16S ribosomal RNA
Rfam family: Bacterial small subunit ribosomal RNA
Source: RNAcentral